GAUACAUGGGAGAUAAACCAUUUAGUGUUUUGUAAGUAAGUAGCUGUAGUUUGUAGUUGAUUCGAAAGUUAACAGGUAGCCAGUGAUCAUAUAACCCCAAAGAUUGGGGUUAUAUCAUAUUUCCUCGACCUUGUGAGAACUCUGGCUGCUGCAUUCUGGACAAACUGUAGCUUGUUUAUUAAUGAUGCAGGACAUCCACCUAGUAAUGCAUUACAGUAGUCCAGUCUGGAGAUCAUGAACACAUGGACGAGCUUCUCUGUGUGGUAGUGGGGACAGUCACAUGGUUGGGCGGAGCAAUUGGAAUGAUAGCCAGGUUUCGCAAAUUAGUGGGUCUAUAAAAGGAGCAGUCGGCGGCUGGUGGGAGUGCGUUUUCCUGAACACUGGUGACAUCACCGGAUAUCCGGAGCAGCUGGGAGAGGUUCUUGUUGUUAGGAGUACAUGCCUGCUUGGUAGCCUGAUUGUGUGAAUUGGGUUUCAAGGGAGGUUUGGUUUCUUUAUUUAGUGUGGCUUGAGGAAUCAGCCAUUAUCUGGUUAAAAUCAUUGCACUUCCCCGUUUAGAGUUUCUCGGCGCAUUGUGACCUGGUUGAACCGGUGGCCUGAGAAACGUCUGCUAUAUAUAGACCUGGACCUGGAUGCUACCCGACAGCCAGCGGAAUGCUAAGAGGUCAUGUGCUUAUUUUAUGAGGGGUAUUGAAUGGUGUCUGGGAAACCAGUUCUAGUGUGAGGGAAAAGUUCCUCUCUGCUUGGUGGUGGAUUCCUUCGGUGUGCAGUGGUCGACAGGUGGGGUUGUGGUGUCGUAUGAGUGCACGUGUGUUUGCUGUGGAUAGGAGAUCAUUAGAGUAAGAUCCUCAGCCCUGGAGUCCAAGCAUUCUUGUGUGGUAUAUGAUGUAUGAUUUUAUGUCAUUUUAAUAGUUCUUAAUAAACUGUGUGUAUUAUA
Molecule: long non-coding RNA, 937 nt
Organism: Silurus meridionalis
Lineage: Eukaryota; Metazoa; Chordata; Actinopteri; Siluriformes; Siluridae
Exons: 3
Source: RefSeq, a predicted model, not a curated record